This is a long non-coding RNA of Manduca sexta (tobacco hornworm), 421 nucleotides long. RefSeq lists it as uncharacterized. The record is from RefSeq and is a predicted model, not a curated record. NCBI's taxonomy places the organism in Eukaryota, Metazoa, Arthropoda, Insecta, Lepidoptera, Sphingidae. The transcript is spliced from 3 exons.
CUGCAGAAUUGAGGAACGUGAAAACUUCAUUAUCAUCAAGACAGUUGUAUGGUGAUGAUGCUAAUUCAUAUGCUAACUCAAAUCCUAAAACAUCAAGCUGAUUACAAAGUGCCCGACAUUCUUCAGUUCUCGAUGCAUUAUUAGAGCAUCAAGCAUAAGAAAGGAAGUGACUGUGAAACGUUUUUACCCAAAAUUAAUGGUGUUUUUACACAAGAAAAUAUAAAUUUUGUGGAAAGUCUGACUCGAGCACAACACGAAAUUCAAGCAUCGCAUGAGUUAAGGAAUAAAAGCAUCAAAAGCAUUUGAUGUUUCACGAUGCAAAAUAACUGUUGGAUCCUUGGUUGCCUUAAUAAUGGGAGCUAAAGUACCAGAUACUCCAACCAUGAAAAGAGGAAAAUCAUUGGAAGAACUAGUAAGAAAG